This 440-nucleotide ribosomal RNA is filed under the name uncultured bacterium. RNAcentral's name for it is "partial 16S ribosomal RNA". It matches the Rfam family "Bacterial small subunit ribosomal RNA", at positions 338 to 795 of the family's 1533-position model. The record is from RNAcentral.
CCUACGGGAGGCUGCAGUGGGGAAUAUUGCACAAUGGGGGAAACCCUGAUGCAGCGACGCCGCGUGAGUGAAGAAGUAAUUCGUUAUGUAAAGCUCUAUCAGCAGGGAAGAAAAUGACGGUACCUGAGUAAGAAGCCCCGGCUAACUACGUGCCAGCAGCCGCGGUAAUACGUAGGGGGCAAGCGUUAUCCGGAUUUACUGGGUGUAAAGGGAGCGUAGACGGGAGUGCAAGUCUGGAGUGAAAGGCGGGGGUUCAACCCCCGGACUGCUCUGGAAACUGUACGGCUGGAGUACAGGAGAGGUAAGUGGAAUUCCUAGUGUAGCGGUGAAAUGCGUAGAUAUUAGGAGGAACACCAGUGGCGAAGGCGGCUUACUGGACUGUAACUGACGGUGAGGCGCGAAAGCGUGGGGAGCAAACAGGAUUAGAUACCCCUGUAGUC